AGCAGUAGCCGCGGUAAUACGUAGGUGGCAAGCGUUGUCCGGAAUUAUUGGGCGUAAAGGGCUCGCAGGCGGUUCCUUAAGUCUGAUGUGAAAGCCCCCGGUUCAACCGGGGAGGGUCAUUGGAAACUGGGAAACUUGAGUGCAGAAGAGGAGAGUGGAAUUCCACGUGUAGCGGUGAAAUGCGUAGAGAUGUGGAGGAACACCAGUGGCGAAGGCGGCUCUCUGGUCUGUAACUGACGCUGAGGAGCGAAAGCGUGGGGAGCGAACAGGAUUAGAUACCCGUGUAGUCCCUGUCUCUUAUAC
RNAcentral lists this ribosomal RNA (303 nucleotides) under uncultured bacterium. Its description in RNAcentral is "partial 16S ribosomal RNA". It matches the Rfam family "Bacterial small subunit ribosomal RNA", at positions 507 to 807 of the family's 1533-position model. The record is from RNAcentral.